GGGCGGUUAGCUCAGCGGUAGAGCNNUCGAAGAAGUCAGAGGUUCAAAUCCUCUACCGCCCACCA
This 65-nucleotide transfer RNA is filed under the name Patescibacteria group bacterium. RNAcentral describes it as "tRNA-Leu". It matches the Rfam family "tRNA". From Rfam's summary of the family: Transfer RNA (tRNA) molecules are approximately 80 nucleotides in length. The record is from RNAcentral.